AGAGUUUGAUCCUGGCUCAGAACGAACGCUGGCGGCGUGCCUAACACAUGCAAGUCGUACGAGAAAAUCCGCUUCGGCGGGUGAGUAAAGUGGCGCACGGGUGAGUAACGCGUGGAUAAUCUGCCUUUAAGCGGGGAAUAACUUACCGAAAGGUGGGCUAAUACCCCAUAAAGCUAUGGAGCUCCGGUUUUCAUAGCCAAAGAGAGCCUCUGCAUGCAAGCCCUCACUUAGAGACGAGUCCGCGUACCAUUAGCUAGUUGGUGGGGUAAUGGCCUACCAAGGCGACGAUGGUUAGCUGGUCUGAGAGGAUGAUCAGCCACACUGGAACUGAGACACGGUCCAGACUCCUACGGGAGGCAGCAGUGAGGAAUAUUGCGCAAUGGGGGCAACCCUGACGCAGCAACGCCGCGUGAGUGAGGAAGGUUUUCGGAUCGUAAAGCUCUGUCGGGUGGGAAGAAAUGUAUGGAGGUUAACAGCCUUUGUACUUGACGGUACCGCCAAAGGAAGCACCGGCUAACUCCGUGCCAGCAGCCGCGGUAAUACGGGGGGUGCUAGCGUUGUUCGGAAUCAUUGGGCGUAAAGAGCGUGUAGGCGGCUAGGCAAGUCAGAUGUGAAAUCCCUGGGCUUAACCCAGGACGUGCAUUUGAAACUGCUUGGCUUGAGUAGGGAAGAGGGAAGUGGAAUUCCCGGUGUAGAGGUGAAAUUCGUAGAUAUCGGGAGGAACACCAGUGGCGAAGGCGGUUUCCUGGCCUGAUACUGACGCUGAGGCGCGAAAGCGUGGGAAGCAAACAGGAUUAGAUACCCUGGUAGUCCACGCGGUAAACGGUGAAC
This 831-nucleotide ribosomal RNA is filed under the name uncultured bacterium. RNAcentral describes it as "bacterial SSU rRNA". It matches the Rfam family "Bacterial small subunit ribosomal RNA", at positions 8 to 814 of the family's 1533-position model. The record is from RNAcentral.